RNAcentral lists this ribosomal RNA (473 nucleotides) under uncultured bacterium. RNAcentral's name for it is "SSU rRNA". It matches the Rfam family "Bacterial small subunit ribosomal RNA", at positions 26 to 518 of the family's 1533-position model. The record is from RNAcentral.
AGGAUGAACGCUGGCGGCGUGCCUAACACAUGCAAGUCGAACGUCCUGUCUCGCAAGAGGCAGGGAGUGGCGGACGGGUGAGUACCACGUGGGUGAUCUACCGUGAGGUGAGGAAUACCGGCGAGAAAUCGCCGACAAGACCGCAUAGCCCUCUUUGAUGAGAGUCAAAGAAGGAAAGCUUCGCAAGAGGCGCUAGAGGAGGGGCCUGCGUCCGAUUAGCUAGUUGGUGGGGUAAGAGCCUACCAAGGCGUCGAUCGGUAGCUGGUCUGAGAGGACGAUCAGCCACACUGGGAUUGAGAACGGCCCAGACUCCUACGGGGGGCAGCAGUGAGGAAUUUUCGGCAAUGGGGGAAACCCUGACCGAGCAACGCCGCGUGCAGGAAGACGGCCUUCGGGUUGUAAACUGCUUUUCUUGGGAAGAGGAAGGACGGUACCAGAGGAAUCAGCCCGGCUCACUACGUGCCAGCAGCCGC